Molecule: ribosomal RNA, 497 nt
Filed under: uncultured bacterium
Lineage: Bacteria
Description: partial 16S ribosomal RNA
Rfam family: Bacterial small subunit ribosomal RNA
Source: RNAcentral
GAUGAACGCUGGCGGCGUGCCUAAUACAUGCAAGUCGAGCGAACAGACGAGGAGCUUGCUCCUCUGACGUUAGCGGCGGACGGGUGAGUAACACGUGGAUAACCUACCUAUAAGACUGGGAUAACUUCGGGAAACCGGAGCUAAUACCGGAUAAUAUAUUGAACCGCAUGGUUCAAUAGUGAAAGACGGUUUUGCUGUCACUUAUAGAUGGAUCCGCGCCGCAUUAGCUAGUUGGUAAGGUAACGGCUUACCAAGGCAACGAUGCGUAGCCGACCUGAGAGGGGGGACGGACACAGUGGAGAUGAUCCAGCAACGAGCCACAUGCGGGAGGCAGCAGGAGGGGAUGGUGAGCAAUGGUUGCAAAUCUGAAGGAGCAAUGAAGAGGGAAUAACAAAGGUGUAAGGAUCGAAAAACUCUGUUACUAGGGAAAAACAAAUGUCUAAGGCAAUCUGCGCGUCUGCACCGUAGGUAAUAAGACAGCAACCACUCCCUUCGUC